UGGGGAAUCUUGCGCAAUGGCCGAAAGGCUGACGCAGCGACGCCGCGUGUGGGAGGACGCUCUUCGGGGUGUAAACCACUGUUGCCCGGGACGAACACACCAUUUCGAUGGUGCUGACGGUACCGGGUGAGGAAGCACCGGCUAACUCCGUGCCAGCAGCCGCGGUAAUACGGAGGGUGCGAGCGUUGUCCGGAAUCAUUGGGCGUAAAGGGCGCGUAGGUGGCCCGGUCAGUCAGUGGUGAAAGCGCGGGGCUCAACCCUGCGUCGGCCAUUGAUACUGCUGGGCUUGAGCACUGUAGAGGCAGGCGGAAUUCCGGGUGUAGCGGUGGAAUGCGUAGAGAUCCGGAAGAACACCGGUGGCGAAGGCGGCCUGCUGGGCAGUAGCUGACACUGAGGCGCGACAGCGUGGGGAGCAAACA
RNAcentral lists this ribosomal RNA (419 nucleotides) under uncultured Gemmatimonas sp. RNAcentral's name for it is "bacterial SSU rRNA". It matches the Rfam family "Bacterial small subunit ribosomal RNA", at positions 355 to 774 of the family's 1533-position model. The record is from RNAcentral. Lineage: Bacteria; Pseudomonadati; Gemmatimonadota; Gemmatimonadia; Gemmatimonadales; Gemmatimonadaceae.